AUGAUCGAUGACGAGGACGGAGACGGCGCGAUGCAGCCGCUGGGGAGGAGGAGAAGGAGGCAGGCCGGCGACGUGGUGGUGGCGACGACGGGCGACGGCAUCGGGUCGAGGAGGAGCUCGAGGAGGCCGGCGGCGAUGCUUCCGGCGAGGGGCGUUCCGAGCGACAAUGAUGGGAUCCAAGGGCGACGGGGUCGAGCGCUGGGCAUCGGCGGCGUGUUUCCGGCGACGGCGCGGGUGCAAGGCGUCGGGGGCGGCGGAGGAGCUCGAGGAGGCUGGCGGCGAUGCUUCUGGCGAGGGGCGUUCCGAGCGACGGCGAUGGGAUCCAAGGGCGAUGGGGUUGACGGGUGGGCAUCAGCGGCGUAUUUCCGGCGACGGCGCGGGUGCAAGCCACCGGGAGGGUCUCACCGUGCACGCCGGCCGCUGCCAGCCAUGGACACCUUCUUCCUCUCGCACGGCUCGCCGGCGAUCUGCAUCGACGAGAGGAUCCCGGCGCACGGCUUCUUCAAGUCGUGGCUGCCAGCGGCGGUGGCGGGCGCGCAGGCGCCGCACGCCGUCCUGGUGGUGUCGGCUCACUGGGAGACCGACACUCCGGCCGUCAACGUCGUCCGCGGCACCAACGACACCAUCCACGACCUGCAGGGCCUCCCCUCCGAGAUGUACAAGCUGAGGUACCCUGCGCCGGGCGCGCCGGACCUGGCCAUGAGGACCAAGGAGCUCCUGGAGGGCGCCGGGUUCGGGCCGGUGAGCGAGGAGCACGGCCGCGGGCUCGACCACGGCGCCUGGGUGCCGCUGAUGCUCGAUUCAUGCGCGCAUGCAUCUCUUCUCAACCAACCCUGCCCCCGGCCGUGUGUUAGUCGCCUCGCCGCUGCUCUCCGGCGCCGGGAUGAAUCAAUCGCCGCCGUCGCGAUUUCUCCCAACCUCGUCCAUGAUUUGACGCUCGCCAACAACUUACAGAGCUUAGUCGCGCUCUCGACCGCACGGCCAACCCAACAAGCAGAGCAGGGCAGAGGAACCUUCCGCGCGCGCGUCGUCGUCUUCUCCGCCUCCGGCAUGGCUCCGCCGUGGAGCAAAAUCCGACUCCUCCUGCUCCAAAAGCCUACUUCCAUCCACACGCGGUCCAGUCUCACCCCCCGACCGCCGAAUCCACCCCGCCGCGCCUACAGACCUCCCUUCCUCGUCGCCGACCGACCGGCCAACAAAGCCGUCGCCGUCGAUUCCCACCGAAAGCAACAUCCUUUUCUCCGAUUCCAGGCCCACCCACACCUUGGGUCCUCGCUUCCGACUCCAAUUUCACCCGAGAGCCGAUAA
Molecule: ribosomal RNA, 1308 nt
Filed under: Triticum aestivum (bread wheat)
Lineage: Eukaryota; Viridiplantae; Streptophyta; Magnoliopsida; Poales; Poaceae
Description: partial small subunit ribosomal RNA
Source: RNAcentral